GGGGAUGCAAUUGCAUCGACAAGAUUUGCUCUUUAAAAAAUGCAAGCCGACAACGACUAAAUGUCGUAAAACUAGUCAAAAUAUAAAUGCUAGAGGUAACUCUUCAUUUCAAUUCGCUUACGCAAACGCUUAAGUAAAUUGAUGUUCAUAAUGUCUUUUCUCAAUGGGACUUUUUGAGCAUAAAUACAGUUGAGAAAUUAAUAAGGAAGAUGGUUAGCUCCUUAUCGAAUUUAUAACCUUGGUUUUAUUUAUUCCUUUCUAUCGGAAAAGAAUAAAACGACUUUUAAAGAUAGGAUAAGCUUGUAGAUGUUUUUAAAAUGUUUUCUUGGACUCGGGGUCACUCUCCGACAUCUCCACCG
Molecule: transfer-messenger RNA, 359 nt
Filed under: Patescibacteria group
Lineage: Bacteria
Also listed under: 1 other name
Description: JACQHJ01 sp016199085 X3 Standard tmRNA
Rfam family: transfer-messenger RNA
About the family: Bacterial tmRNA, also known as 10Sa RNA or SsrA, is named for its dual tRNA and mRNA-like properties. Its role is to liberate the mRNA from a stalled ribosome.
Source: RNAcentral